UCGGGCGCCGGCUCGCCGCCCGACGACACGCGCUUCGGCCCCGUGCAGCGCCCGCACCCACACACACACCCGCACCCGAGACCCGUCUAGACCGCACCGAAUCCCACCGAAAUCGAACCUCAAACCGACGAGCACAACACGAAAUCCAAAAUCUUCCAAACGACACAUUAUUCAAAAAUAUGUAUCUAUGAUUUAAUUAAAUACACGUGAAGACUAUGCUGCAAUAUGUACGAUUCACACAAAACAGCUGAAAUCAACAUAAACUAUUUAGGAGCUUUAGAAGGACGCGCAUUUGAAAAACAGUUGAUAUAUACCGUUAACACUUCCAUUGACAUAUGGAACCUUACUGACUAAGGCUCAAAUUCCUUACAUAUCUAGUAUAAUUCGCCCCUAUAGGCUUGUCUAAGCGUUUGGUGUGAAUCCUACAUAACGAUAACAACUCCUUUUUAAAAAGAUUGACAUGAAAACAUUACUUUAUUUAAUGAUUGUGACAUGAAUAUUGAUUAAUAUCGGAUAUGACAUUUUAAGAUCACAUAAUGAUCUGACAAUUCGUAAAUCUUAUAAGACAUAAGAGUGCGUAAUUAAGAGUGGCAAAUAUUUAUGUAACAAUUAUGAAUCAUAUACGAUAAUUUACAUUAUUUUGCUUUGCAUUAGUUACUGAUUUUUAAAAAGUGUUUUGUCAAUUAAGACAUGUCAAGAUCGCGAAGUCUUUUUCUAAUGCUAAAAAAACGAACUAUAGCAGGCCUGAUCAUCGUUAAAUAUGGCGGCAGAGCAGCCGUCAGUCCAUAGAAAACUGUCAAACUAUUCAUACAAAUUUAAACGUAGAAAGAUCUGGCCUUUAGUAUACGAUAUUGACUUAUGAAGCACGGAAAAUGUAAAACAUCUAAACUUAAACAUCAUUUAAACUUUUGUGCCUUACAACACGAAUGCAUCACGCUUUGAUAUUUCAUUUACAACGGUGUUCGCGAUAUAUUGCUAUGGUACGUCGACUCGAUAUAGCGCAUAGCCUAGAACAUUAUAUGUGAACGAUUCUUGUUAUGUGGAUCAAUCAACUUUAUAUUGUCACUCGUUGCCACGGUUACAAUCUUCUGGACAACUAAAACCCUUAUAUGUAUAUGACGACUUUGUAACAAAACCACCAGUGGGUGGUCGUAUUUGCCUGUGUGACAGUGCAGCGCGAUAAGUGAUACUUGUUUUAUCACGUGGAUAAAGCCAUCCAUCUUUCUGUAAAGAUUUGAUGGCGACACUUUUAUCACCAAUCGUGUCACACUAUUCUAAUGUAUUUCGAUUAUUCAUUGUGUUGAUUUGUAAAUGAAUAAUCCAAUAUCUUGUCAAAGAAAGAGACGACAAUCUGUUCUCAGUUAUCAAUGUGUCUCAAGGACUUAACGCAUGUAAUAAAUUUACUGCAUGGUGCGUAAUUAUAAUUACUUGAUUAUAGAUUAGCAAUAAAGGCAAUUUGUAAGUCUGAUUGUAAUUUUCUCAGAUCGAUAAGACUUAGAGCUGUAAUUAAAAGACCUAAAAUAUCAAUGCCACUUUUGACAAAACCCUAAAAUGUUAAGUUUAGAACCUGUGUCUAAUUUUUAUCCUUUAGGAUGACAAAAACGCGAAAGGGUUAAAAAUCAAUUGAUAUUUCGAGGUUUUGAACCAAAAUAUCAGUUUUUUUUUUUUUGUUGAAACAACCUUGAAAAAGAGUACAGGUUUUUAAACGGUCGUCUGUAACUGCUGCAGUUGCAAGCGUCUGUAUGCUACGACAUCCGCUUACCGGGCUGUGCGCUUGUUUGCCACGUGGUAUAAUUGGCAGCUCUAAGUCUUAUCCCUGUACUGGGCCAUUGGCUCUCGAUCCCGAUACUGACGUAUGACGAAGUUUGUAUGGAACUAAUAAGAGUAUUAUAACCGACCGCAGGUUGUAUGUAAACGAUAAGUGAAAUGUAUAUUAUAGAUGAA
This is a long non-coding RNA of Cydia splendana, 1944 nucleotides long. RefSeq lists it as uncharacterized. NCBI's taxonomy places the organism in Eukaryota, Metazoa, Arthropoda, Insecta, Lepidoptera, Tortricidae. The transcript has 2 exons. The record is from RefSeq and is a predicted model, not a curated record.